This 253-nucleotide ribosomal RNA is filed under the name uncultured bacterium. RNAcentral describes it as "partial 16S ribosomal RNA". It matches the Rfam family "Bacterial small subunit ribosomal RNA", at positions 524 to 776 of the family's 1533-position model. The record is from RNAcentral.
UACGUAGGGACCGAGCGUUGUCCGGAAUCAUUGGGCGUAAAGAGCUCGUAGGCGGUUUGUCGCGUCGAAUGUGAAAACCCGGGGCUCAACCCCGGGCCUGCAUUCGAUACGGGCAGACUAGAGUUCGGUAGGGGAGUCUGGAAUUCCUGGUGUAGCGGUGAAAUGCGCAGAUAUCAGGAGGAACACCGGUGGCGAAGGCGGGACUCUGGGCCGAUACUGACGCUGAGGAGCGAAAGCGUGGGGAGCGAACAGG